This 1158-nucleotide ribosomal RNA is filed under the name Plectreurys tristis. RNAcentral describes it as "SSU rRNA". It matches the Rfam family "Eukaryotic small subunit ribosomal RNA", at positions 622 to 1804 of the family's 1831-position model. The record is from RNAcentral. Lineage: Eukaryota; Metazoa; Arthropoda; Arachnida; Araneae; Plectreuridae.
AAAAGCUCGUAGUUGGAUCUCAGUUCCAGACAGGCGGUCCGCCUAACGGUGGUCACUGCCUGGCCUGAACAACCAGCCGGUUUCCCUAGAUGAUCUUUACUGAUUGUCUUGGGUGACCGGCACGUUUACUUUGAAAAAAUUAGAGUGCUCAAAGCAGGCGCGACGCCUGAAUAAUGGUGCAUGGAAUAAUGGAAUAGGACCUCGGUUCUAUUUUGUUGGUUUUCGGAACACGAGGUAAUGAUUAAGAGGGACAGACGGGGGCAUUCGUAUUGCGACGCUAGAGGUGAAAUUCUUGGACCGUCGCAAGACGAACUACUGCGAAAGCAUUUGCCAAGAAUGUUUUCAUUAAUCAAGAACGAAAGUUAGAGGUUCGAAGGCGAUCAGAUACCGCCCUAGUUCUAACCAUAAACGAUGCCAACCAGCGAUCCGCCUGAGUUCCUCAAAUGACUCGGCGGGCAGCUUCCGGGAAACCAAAGUGUUUGGGUUCCGGGGGAAGUAUGGUUGCAAAGCUGAAACUUAAAGGAAUUGACGGAAGGGCACCACCAGGAGUGGAGCCUGCGGCUUAAUUUGACUCAACACGGGAAAACUUACCCGGCCCGGACACUGGAAGGAUUGACAGAUUAAGAGCUCUUUCUUGAUUCAGUGGGUGGUGGUGCAUGGCCGUUCUUAGUUGGUGGAGCGAUUUGUCUGGUUAAUUCCGAUAACGAACGAGACUCUAGCCUACUAAAUAGGCGUUCCGAUCACUUACGUCGGACGUUCUUCUUAGAGGGACAAGCGGCGCUUAGCCGCACGAGACAGAGCAAUAACAGGUCUGUAAUGCCCUUAGAUGUCCGGGGCCGCACGCGCGCUACACUGAAGGAAUCAGCGUGUGCUUUCCCUGUCCGGUAGGACUGGGUAACCCGUUAAACCUCCUUCGUGAUAGGGAUAGGGGCUUGUAAUUGUUCCCCUUGAACGAGGAAUUCCCAGUAAGCACGAGUCAUAAGCUCGUGUUGAUUACGUCCCUGCCCUUUGUACACACCGCCCGUCGCUACUACCGAUUGAAUGAUUUAGUGAGGUCUUCGGACUGGCGCUCGGAGCGGCCUUCCGGCCGCGCCGACGGGCCGGAAAGAUGACCAAACUUGAUCAUUUAGAGGAAGUAAAAGUCGUAACAAGGUUUCC